Molecule: ribosomal RNA, 429 nt
Filed under: Chloroflexota bacterium
Lineage: Bacteria; Bacillati; Chloroflexota
Description: Chloroflexi bacterium partial 16S ribosomal RNA
Rfam family: Bacterial small subunit ribosomal RNA
Source: RNAcentral
UGGGGAAUAUUGCACAAUGGGCGCAAGCCUGAUGCAGCCAUGCCGCGUGUGUGAAGAAGGCCUUCGGGUUGUAAAGCACUUUCAGCGGGGAGGAAGGCGAUAAGGUUAAUAACCUCAUCGAUUGACGUUACCCGCAGAAGAAGCACCGGCUAACUCCGUGCCAGCAGCCGCGGUAAUACGGAGGGUGCAAGCGUUAAUCGGAAUUACUGGGCGUAAAGCGCACGCAGGCGGUCUGUCAAGUCGGAUGUGAAAUCCCCGGGCUCAACCUGGGAACUGCAUUCGAAACUGGCAGGCUAGAGUCGUGUAGAGGGGGGUAGAAUUCCAGGUGUAGCGGUGAAAUGCGUAGAGAUCUGGAGGAAUACCGGUGGCGAAGGCGGCCCCCUGGACAAAGACUGACGCUCAGGUGCGAAAGCGUGGGGAGCAAACAGG